RNAcentral lists this ribosomal RNA (362 nucleotides) under uncultured Spirochaeta sp. Its description in RNAcentral is "bacterial SSU rRNA". It matches the Rfam family "Bacterial small subunit ribosomal RNA", at positions 1025 to 1382 of the family's 1533-position model. Lineage: Bacteria; Pseudomonadati; Spirochaetota; Spirochaetia; Spirochaetales; Spirochaetaceae. The record is from RNAcentral.
GGCCGGCGUACAGGUGCUGCAUGGCUGUCGUCAGCUCGUGCUGUGAAGUGUUGGGUUAAGUCCCGCAACGAGCGCAACCCCUGCUGCCUGUUGCCACCACGAGAGGUGGGGACUCAGGCGGGACCGCCGGUGCAAACCGGAGGAAGGUGGGGACGACGGUCAAGUCAUCAUGGCCCUUAUGUCCUGGGCUACACACGUGCUACAAUGGCCGGUACAGAGCGCAGCGAGGCCGCGAGGCGGAGCGAAUCGCUAAAAAGCCGGUCCUCAGGUACGGUAGUUGGAGUCUGAAACCCGACUCCAUGAAGUUGGAAUCGCUAGUAAUCGCGCAUCAGCAUGGCGCGGUGAAUACGUUCCCGGGCCUU